Non-coding RNA from Picea glauca (white spruce), 46 nucleotides. The record is from Rfam. Lineage: Eukaryota; Viridiplantae; Streptophyta; Pinopsida; Pinales; Pinaceae.
GUAAUGGUGUCUUUAGACACCACCCUUUUGUCUUCAAAACUUAUUU